ACGGAGGGUGCAAGCGUUAAUCGGAAUCACUGGGCGUAAAGCGCGCGUAGGCCGCCUUUUAAGUCGGACGUGAAAGCCCUCGUCUCAACGGGGGAACUGCGUUCGAAACUGGCGGGCUUGAGUGCAGGAGAGGUAAGUGGAAUUCCGGGUGUAGCGGUGAAAUGCGUAGAGAUCCGGAGGAACACCAGUGGCGAAGGCGGCUUACUGGACUGUAACUGACGCUGAGGCGCGAAAGUGUGGGGAGCAAACAG
This 251-nucleotide ribosomal RNA is filed under the name uncultured prokaryote. Its description in RNAcentral is "partial 16S rRNA". It matches the Rfam family "Bacterial small subunit ribosomal RNA", at positions 525 to 775 of the family's 1533-position model. The record is from RNAcentral.